This 501-nucleotide ribosomal RNA is filed under the name uncultured bacterium. RNAcentral's name for it is "partial 16S ribosomal RNA". It matches the Rfam family "Bacterial small subunit ribosomal RNA", at positions 30 to 523 of the family's 1533-position model. The record is from RNAcentral.
AUUGAACGCUGGCGGCAGGCUUAACACAUGCAAGUCGAGCGGGGGAAGGUAGCUUGCUACUGGACCUAGCGGCGGACGGGUGAGUAAUGCUUAGGAAUCUGCCUAUUAGUGGGGGACAACAUCUCGAAAGGGACGCUAAUACCGCAUACGUCCUACGGGAGAAAGCAGGGGAUCUUCGGACCUUGCGCUAAUAGAUGAGCCUAAGUCGGAUUAGCUAGUUGGGGGGGUAAAGGCCUACCAAGGCGACGAUCUGUAGCGGGUCUGAGAGGAUGAUCCGCCACACUGGGACUGAGACACGGCCCAGACUCCUACGGGAGGCAGCAGUGGGGAAUAUUGGACAAUGGGGGGAACCCUGAUCCAGCCAUGCCGCGUGUGUGAAGAAGGCCUUAUGGUUGUAAAGCACUUUUAGCGAGGAGGAGGCUACUCUAGUUAAUACCUAGGGAUAGUGGACGUUACUCGCAGAAUAAGCACCGGCUAACUCUGUGCCAGCCGCCGCCGUAA